Non-coding RNA from Solanum lycopersicum (tomato), 3169 nucleotides. The record is from RefSeq and is a predicted model, not a curated record. Lineage: Eukaryota; Viridiplantae; Streptophyta; Magnoliopsida; Solanales; Solanaceae.
AGUAACUACAAGAUGUACCGCUGCGACAUGUUGGCCUUUCUUUUCCAGUUACACUUGGCAAUGGUAAAGAUACUAGCAGUAGAAAAUCCUGAUAGAGAAAAGAUGGAUCAAAUUGGAGUAUAAUUUGUUAAGAUCAGAGAAUCGAGUUACUGCAGUAAUGAGUAGAAGUACAGCUUGCUUAACAAUAGAGAGAAACUCUCUUCUUCAUUGAACAUUGAAAGCUUUACAAGGGAACUCUUUUUAUAACUCUCUUCAUCCUAUGACUAUGUCAUUUAUAUAUACAAUCAGUUCAUCAAGCUAACACACUAACAAAUUCUAACUAACUAAAUUUGUUAAUUUAAUUAACUUGUCAGAGCUAACUUAUAGCUGUGCAUUUUACUAGCUGCUCAACAUCCUCCCUCAAGCUAGGUGUACGAAAAACAUUCUUCAUUCCUAGCUUGGCAAGCCGAUACGCAUGUUGCACACAAGUGAAUUCUUUGACUGGGUUGACAGCAAUCUGUAUUGCUAAUUUGCUGUCAGUGUAAGUAGGCACAUGCAUCUUCACCUGCACUCCUAGUUCUUUGAAGAGUCCAACUAACCACGCAACUUCUGCUACUAUUGAUGCCAAGCUCCUGUAUUCAGCCUAUGAGCUCCUUGAGAUAGUGUUUUGCUUCCAAGAUUGUGAGAGGUACUCUAUUUAUGAUACAUAUUGCAGCUUCUAUGCAUUCACCCCAAAAUCUAUUUAGUAACUGCCCUUGAAAUUUGAUACAUCUUGUCGUCUCUAACUAGCGCGUAGGCUUCCUUUCUACAACUCCAUUUUGUUGUGAAGUAUGUGGAUAUGAUAUUUGGUGGAUGAUCCCAUGCAAUGCAAACAAAUCAUGACAGUUAGAAUUCAUAAACUCUCAUCCAUUGCAAAUUUUAUCUGUUACUUGCUUUUGAAGCAUUGUCCUUUCAGAAGUAUUCAUGAAUGAUUGUUAUACUUAAUGAAUAAACAAUUCAUAAGUUGUGCUUUAUAAAAUAGAUGAAAUGAUUGCAAUCUGGCUAAAGAUGAUUCAAACGUUGUCCUAGUUCUAGUUUUGUAAAUCUAAACAUUUAGACUUCAUAAAUACUUCAAACAAACAAAAAAAGUACCUAAACUUUUCAUUGAUUUUAAAAUACUAAAUAUUAGAAAAAUAAAUCAACAUUUCUCACUGGCACUCUGUGUUUUUAAUAGUUUAAAGUUAAAAAAAAAAAGAUCAAGCCUAUUUGUAGCUAAUUGCUCAACCAAACUACACCUUCAAAUAAUGUCUCCAGACUGGAUAUAUGAUACAUCAUAUUUUUCAAUGAAAGAAUCUGGCCUCUUAAAGUUGGUACUAAUUUUCACUUAGGCAUCUUAACUAAACUUUGUUCAUUUUAGACAUCUCAUGUCAUGUCUCAUUGUGUCAUUUUGACACUUUUUACUGACAUGGCAUAGUAAGUGUAAUAUACUCAAUACCAGCCCGCGAAAGGCUCAUUUAACCUUUUUUAUUUUAGUUUUUUUAUUUGCUUCCUCAUUUCUCAGCUACAUCUCUCAAAACUUGAGCUCCUUCCAUGGAGAAACGUUUUGAUGAUGCUACAGACAAAGAAAAAAAAUCAACACGAAGAGAUUUCACAAAAAAUAAAUUUCAAUCCAUUAGAAAAGCCACGCUUCAUGUUGUCACAAAGAAAAAGGGCAGCAAAAAAACUUGAAAAAGACCAUGGGUGGGUGGGAGCAGUGUUUUGGACGGUGAGAGGCGACGAGGGUCUGCCUCACCACGCGGCGAGGCGCUCGCCUUUUUGAAUCGAGGCGCCAAUUAAUACCAAAUUAAAAAUAUUUAAUUGCACAUAUAAUAUUCAAAAUUUCAAUAGCACUUACAUAUCUUACAAAUACUAUAAUAAUUACUUUAAAAAAAUUAUUAUUUUUUUCAAAAUAAUAAUGGACAACAGUCAUAGACUCACAGCACAGUGAAAACAGAAGGCAUUUUAUAGUAAUCUGGUACAAAACAGAGAGUGAAGAAAAUAGAGAGAAAAAAGAGUAGUGAAGAAAACUUGAAGAAAACAGAAUUGAAAGUCUGAAAAGAAAAUUGAAGAAGAAGAACAGAAAAAAAUAGGUAUACCUCAGGUCUUCAGCAAUAGCAACUUGAAGAUGAUGGAGACCAGGAGAAGAUAUAGGGGAAGAGAGUCGCGAUGGGAAGAGAGUCGGGGAGAAGAGUGCGCAGCAGCAGAUUUUGAAAAUAUAAAAAAAGGCCCUAAUUUUAAUUAAUAUUGUUAAGUCAAAUUUUUAAAAAAUAAAAAAGGCGACGCCUUUUCUAGCGCCAUUAGGUCGCCAUGAGCCGCCUUUUGCAUACCGCAUCGCCUCAGUGGGGAAUGGCGAGGAGGCCUCGCCUCGCCUCUCGCCAAAGGCAAUGAGGCGCUCGCCAUUCACAACACUGGGUGGGAGAGGGAUGUACAAGACUAUGAGGGUGUGGAUGGGGUUGGGUUAGGGUGGGCAAAGUUGUAGAAGACGUUAAGUGGGUGGGGAAUAGUGAAGAAGACGAUCUGGGUGGGUGGGGCAGAAAAGACGACCUUGGUGGGGUUGGUUUUUUUUUUUUAAUUUUGUGUAAAAAAUUUCACAUGUCAUUGAGUCAUUGACUCCUUCAUUCUACUAAAAUAUCAUUAUAUAAAGAAUAUGUUUAAUAUAUUCGCCAAGUGUGUUUAUUUAAUUUGUCAAUUUAACACAUCAGGCGAGUGUGUUACACAUACCUUAUAUAUUUAACUGAUUGUUUAAAAAAUGCUAAAAUGACACAAUUCAGUACGAUAUUUAGUGGCUAAAAUGUACAAAGCUUAGUUAAUGAGUCUAAGUGAAAAUUGAUGCCAAUUUUAGGGGGCAACCGAUGGAUUCAGCCAAGAAUAUUUUCAAGUGUUUAACUUGAUCGAAUACACCGUAAUACCAAGUUGGUCAAAGCUGUCUUGUUUAAACAAUUCUAACCAUAAUUUUCAUUGUAAAAUUAUACCUCAUUUUAAUUUUUUAAUGAAUCUACUCAAAGAAAUACCAGACCAGCAAGAUUCUGUUCACUAGUUGAGUUGAUGCUCUCAACUAUUUCUGAACUUGUCAAAACGAAAGAAUUAAAACUUUUGCCAUGAUAAAAAUAGUUCUUGAAAAUUCAUGAGAAUAGAUUGUUGAUUAUAUUUAACAGGAGGCGAAAAGCCAAAA